CCUCCUCCUCCUCCCUCUCUCCUUCCUCCCCUUUUCCUCUUUCUUAUCCUCUCUCCCUCCCUCCUCCUCUCCCUCUUUUCACUUUCUCCUCUCCCUCUUCCCUCCCUCCUUUGUCUUUCCCUCUCACACCACACACACAUCCCUACACAAUCUAUGCUUUUCUAUAGUCUUGGGAUAAAAACGGGUAUACAUUGAAGCACAAGAGUCCAUUAACCAAAAAGCUCUGCCCUGCUGCCAAGGUUUUAAAUUUUCACCGCAGCUACAGACCAUGCAUUUGAGCUAUGGAAAACUGCCUUUAUCUCUAUGAGAUCAUUUUGGCGCGCUGUUGUGCGUCAGGAGCCAUUUUCUUUCACUGGUAUCUGUUAGCCCGGUGGGGGAGGGUCAGCAGUGGAACUUCAAAGUACCUAAGAGUCAACUAGGUGUCUCAGUAGAUAAAACGGCAGACCUGGAAUCAGAAAGACCUGGGUUCAAAUCUACCCUUAGACACUCACUAGCUAUGUGACUGUGGACCAGACCACUGUUUUCUUCAACCCACUGGAGAAGGAAAUGGCACACUUCUGCUUUGAAGAAGACAGCAUGGAACCCUGGGAAGAAGCCUUGAUCUGGGGUCAGAAAACUCUAGUUCAAAUCCUGGCUUGGAUUUUUGAUACCUAUGACUUCUGCCAGGUCAUUUUCCUUCACUGGGAUUUUUCUCAUUGGACAAGAUGACUUCUGAGGUCUCUCUUGGAUAUAAAUGUGUAAUCCUAUGAAGUCAUCUUUGAUUAACUCACCCACAGACUCAAUAACAAUACUGACUCCCUCCUUAACCAUUUCGUGCUCCCUUGGCAUUUGAAUUUUGCACACUUGGGUGAGUUGGCAUCUAUUUGUAUUGUUUCCUUUUUUAUUAAUAGAAUUUAUUUCCAAGUAUCUCAAUCCCCCCUUUCCUUCCCUGUACCUCCCUGAUGCCUAUAGAAGGCAUCAUUCAACAAACAUAUGUGUACAUAGAUUAUGUCUUUCAUAUUUCUACUUCAUCCUCUGGAUGGGAAUGUUCAUAAGUUUUUCUUCAAAUAUUAAAUCCGUAGCUGUAUAUAAUGUUCUCUUGCUUCCAUUCAUUUCACUUUUCAUUAACUCAUGUGGUUCUUUCCAACUUUUUUUUUAAUUUUUUUUUAUUUUUAUUUUUAAUAUAUUUUAUUUGAUCAUUUCCAAGCAUUAUUCGUUAAAGACAUAGAUCAUUUUCUUUUCCUCCCCCCCACCCCCCAUAGCCGACGCGUAAGUCCACUGGGCAUUAGAUGUUUUCUUGAUUUGAACCCAUUGCUUUGUUGAUAGUAUUUGCAUUAGAGUGUUCAUUUAGAGUCUAUCCUCUGUCAUGUCCCCUCAACCUCUGUAUUCAGGCAGUUGCUUUUUCUCGGUGUUUCCACUCCCAUAGUUUAUCCUUUGCUUAUGAAUGGUGUUUUUUUCUCCUGGAUCCCUGCAAGUUGUUCAG
Long non-coding RNA from Monodelphis domestica (gray short-tailed opossum), 1462 nucleotides. RefSeq lists it as uncharacterized. The record is from RefSeq and is a predicted model, not a curated record. NCBI's taxonomy places the organism in Eukaryota, Metazoa, Chordata, Mammalia, Didelphimorphia, Didelphidae.